Homo sapiens (human) is the source of this 590-nucleotide long non-coding RNA. RefSeq lists it as uncharacterized. Lineage: Eukaryota; Metazoa; Chordata; Mammalia; Primates; Hominidae. The record is from RefSeq and is a predicted model, not a curated record. The transcript has 2 exons.
GGGGUUCAGUUCUUGGAGGACAGGGGUGUGGGGUCAAAUGGGGGUAGAAGGCUCACAGCUCUGACCAUUUCUUUGUUUCCUGGAGGCUGCGAGGGCCCUUUUGGACAGAGCACAGUGGCAUGUGGCCCAUGGGUAGAGUUGCAGAUUUUUCUUUUCUGGCUUUGUUGACGUCCUCCCUUGACUGAAUUCCCCAAAGGAUCUGACCCACUGUCCUCCACCUCCAGAUGCCAUGCUGCAUUUUGUCAUCAGGCAUCCCCAGCCUCUAACCUAUGACAUCUCUCCAUUCUUGCCUUGUCUCUUCCUUUGGGUCAGCACGGGCCAGUGGCUCUGUGAACUCUCCCUCCAUUUGGGCUCCUGAGACCGUAUUUAAUGAUAAGAUGGAGGCUCUGCACUUUUGGCAGGAAUUUUGAAGAAGGGAAGGGCCCUUCUGUGUGCAUUCCAUCGUGGAAGCGUGACAUGGAUAAGUCUUUGAGGAGGCUGACCCCGACAAUGGAGGACACUGGUGCCUGCUGGGUUUCUCCACUGGGAAGUCACCAUUUUUCUCUUUGAAAUUAAUAAAUACCUCAAGGGAGACACUCGAAGCCAACGCA